This 954-nucleotide long non-coding RNA is filed under the name Heterocephalus glaber (naked mole-rat). RNAcentral describes it as "lncRNA (ENSHGLG00000034730.1)". The record is from RNAcentral. Lineage: Eukaryota; Metazoa; Chordata; Mammalia; Rodentia; Bathyergidae.
GAACAGGUUGCCUCGGGUUCAUCAGUGCAAUGACACAGGUACUCUCUACACGACCAUCCCGACUUGGCCCGAAUUGUCCCUUCUGUCACUUGCAGGUGUUAUGACAAGUAACAAACCACAGUGGAAAUGUUUGAAUUUUCCUGUCUCUGUCCCUAAAAUACCUCUCUGGGACGCCGUAGUGGUGACAGGAGAUAAAACUCUGUGUAGCUGUCCUAUAGCUUCUGCCUUUUCUGUGGGCUGGGCUGCAGACCUCCUUCAUAGUAAUGUUUGUAAUUGUAAAGUUUAUUCUUCGGUGUAGGACAUGAAUGAUAAUAGGUUUAAACAGCUUCACAACUAAAGCAUAAAGGAUGAGGGACACGGAUUUCUUGGAUCUUCAAUUUUUAAAAAGCUGAAGAACAUUGUUCUGGCUUUGUUUUCAGUGCUGGGGAUUGAAUCCAGGGCCUCACACAUGUUAAGCAUGGCUGUACCACUGGGCACACCCCAGCCCUGUCCUGGCUUCCCCCACUACAGAGGCAGUGAUGAGGGGGAAGAGCCUGGAUGCUGUGUCACCCAGACAGACUCUCUCCUGCAACUUCUGCUGUCCUCCACUACACACAACUAGAGGCCAGGUGAGCCACCCUUCAUUCAUUCAGGAGGCAGCUGUGACUUGGGGCAUCUCUCACCCUCCCUCACCCUCGAUUUCUUCCUGCAGUAACAGCCUCUCAGGGCCAAUGGGAAAGUUAAAGAACCAGAACUGCAUAGCUGGUGCUCACGUGAAAACAAAGGGCCUGUCUGGCCUGGUUACUGUUCUCCGUCUCUGAAGGGCUCCAGGCAGUGCAGGCACAGCCUCCCACCUUGCUAAUGCUCUGCCAUUACUCCUUCCUGUGCUGUCCUCCCUCCGAGGGUUGGAGGCCCACACCAGCGGAGAAGGUGCUGUUGACUCACUCUCACAACUACCAGUCUUUGUGUUAUCAG